GUGAGUAGUUCAGAGUUUGAUCCUGGCUCAGGACGAACGCUGGCGGCGUGCUUAACACAUGCAAGUCGAACGGAGUUAAGACUUCGGUUUUAACUUAGUGGCGAACGGGUGAGUAACGCGUGAGGAACCUGCCUCUCAGUGGGGGACAACAGUUGGAAACGACUGCUAAUACCGCAUAAUGUCACGAAUCGGCAUCGGUUUGUGACCAAAGAUUUAUUGCUGAGAGAUGGCCUCGCGUCUGAUUAGCUAGUUGGUGGGGUAACGGCCCACCAAGGCGACGAUCAGUAGCCGGACUGAGAGGUUGACCGGCCACAUUGGGACUGAGAUACGGCCCAG
RNAcentral lists this ribosomal RNA (336 nucleotides) under uncultured bacterium. RNAcentral's name for it is "bacterial SSU rRNA". It matches the Rfam family "Bacterial small subunit ribosomal RNA", at positions 1 to 334 of the family's 1533-position model. The record is from RNAcentral.